Molecule: ribosomal RNA, 786 nt
Filed under: uncultured Prevotella sp.
Lineage: Bacteria; Pseudomonadati; Bacteroidota; Bacteroidia; Bacteroidales; Prevotellaceae
Description: bacterial SSU rRNA
Rfam family: Bacterial small subunit ribosomal RNA
Source: RNAcentral
UGUGAAAUGUACCGGCUCAACCGGUGAUGUGCAGCGCGAACUGGGAAUCUUGAGUACGCAGUAAGCAGGCGGAAUUCGUGGUGUAGCGGUGAAAUGCUUAGAUAUCACGAAGAACUCCGAUUGCGUAGGCAGCUUGCUGUAGCGUAACUGACGCUGAAGCUCGAAAGUGCGGGUAUCGAACAGGAUUAGAUACCCUGGUAGUCCGCACGGUAAACGAUGGAUGCCCGCUGUCGGCCUUUUUUGGUCGGUGGCCAAGCGAAAGCGUUAAGCAUCCCACCUGGGGAGUACGCCGGCAACGGUGAAACUCAAAGGAAUUGACGGGGGCCCGCACAAGCGGAGGAACAUGUGGUUUAAUUCGAUGAUACGCGAGGAACCUUACCCGGGCUUGAACUGCCAUUGACUUGAAUAGAGAUAUUCAUUCCCUUCGGGGCAUUGGUGGAGGUGCUGCAUGGUUGUCGUCAGCUCGUGCCGUGAGGUGUCGGCUUAAGUGCCAUAACGAGCGCAACCCCUUUUUUCAGUUGCCAUCGGUUAAAGCCGGGCACUCUGUGAAUACUGCCGCCGUAAGGUGUGAGGAAGGUGGGGAUGACGUCAAAUCAGCACGGCCCUUACGUCCGGGGCUACACACGUGUUACAAUGGCGCGUACAGCGAGUCGGCCGUAUGUAAAUGCGGUCCAAUCCUUAAAACGCGCCUCAGUUCGGACUGGGGUCUGCAACCCGACCCCACGAAGCUGGAUUCGCUAGUAAUCGCGCAUCAGCCAUGGCGCGGUGAAUACGUUCCCGGGCCUU